UACGUAGGUGGCAAGCGUUGUCCGGAUUUAUUGGGCGUAAAGCGAGCGCAGGCGGAAAGAUAAGCCUGAUGUGAAAGCCCCCGGCUUAACCGAGGAAUUGCAUCGGAAACUGUGUUUCUUGAGUGCAGAAGAGGAGAGUGGAACUCCAUGUGUAGCGGUGGAAUGCGUAGAUAUAUGGAAGAACACCAGUGGCGGAGGCGGCUUACUGGACGGUAACUGACGCUGAGGCUCGAAAGCGUGGGGAGCAAACAGG
This 253-nucleotide ribosomal RNA is filed under the name uncultured Lactobacillus sp. RNAcentral describes it as "partial 16S ribosomal RNA". It matches the Rfam family "Bacterial small subunit ribosomal RNA", at positions 524 to 776 of the family's 1533-position model. Lineage: Bacteria; Bacillati; Bacillota; Bacilli; Lactobacillales; Lactobacillaceae. The record is from RNAcentral.